AUGCAGUCGAACGGUGAAGCAGAGCUUGCUCUGUGGAUCAGUGGCGAACGGGUGAGUAACACGUGAGCAACCUGCCCCUGACUCUGGGAUAAGCGCUGGAAACGGCGUCUAAUACCGGAUAUGAGCUGCGAUCGCAUGGUCAGCAGUUGGAAAGAUUUUUCGGUCUGGGAUGGGCUCACGGCCUAUCAGCUUGUUGGUGAGGUAAUGGCUCACCAAGGCGUCGACGGGUAGCCGGCCUGAGAGGGUGACCGGCCACACUGGGACUGAGACACGGCCCAGACUCCUACGGGAGGCAGCAGUGGGGAAUAUUGCACAAUGGGCGAAAGCCUGAUGCAGCAACGCCGCGUGAGGGAUGACGGCCUUCGGGUUGUAAACCUCUUUUAGCAGGGAAGAAGCGAAAGUGACGGUACCUGCAGAAAAAGCGCCGGCUAACUACGUGCCAGCAGCCGCGGUAAUACGUAGGGCGCAAGCGUUAUCCGGAAUUAUUGGGCGUAAAGAGCUCGUAGGCGGUUUGUCGCGUCUGCUGUGAAAUCCCGAGGCUCAACCUCGGGUCUGCAGUGGGUACGGGCAGACUAGAGUGCGGUAGGGGAGAUUGGAAUUCCUGGUGUAGCGGUGGAAUGCGCAGAUAUCAGGAGGAACACCGAUGGCGAAGGCAGAUCUCUGGGCCGUUACUGACGCUGAGGAGCGAAAGGGUGGGGAGCAAACAGGCUUAGAUACCCUGGUAGUCCACCCCGUAAACGUUGGGAACUAGUUGUGGGGUCCAUUCCACGGAUUCCGUGACGCAGCUAACGCAUUAAGUUCCCCGCCUGGGGAGUACGGCCGCAAGGCUAAAACUCAAAGGAAUUGACGGGGACCCGCACAAGCGGCGGAGCAUGCGGAUUAAUUCGAUGCAACGCGAAGAACCUUACCAAGGCUUGACAUACACGAGAACGGGCCAGAAAUGGUCAACUCUUUGGACACUCGUGAACAGGUGGUGCAUGGUUGUCGUCAGCUCGUGUCGUGAGAUGUUGGGUUAAGUCCCGCAACGAGCGCAACCCUCGUUCUAUGUUGCCAGCACGUAAUGGUGGGAACUCAUGGGAUACUGCCGGGUCACUCGGAGAAAGGUGGGGAUGACGUCAAUCAUCAUGCCCCUUAUGUNUGGGCUUC
RNAcentral lists this ribosomal RNA (1146 nucleotides) under Microbacterium sp. Its description in RNAcentral is "bacterial SSU rRNA". It matches the Rfam family "Bacterial small subunit ribosomal RNA", at positions 55 to 1217 of the family's 1533-position model. The record is from RNAcentral. Lineage: Bacteria; Bacillati; Actinomycetota; Actinomycetes; Micrococcales; Microbacteriaceae.